ACAGUUGAACUUUCAACCCCAUGAUUUAUAUGUAGGCUUUCCCCUAAGUAUGCAUACCAAUAAAUUGCUGUGUGUAGUCUUUGCCUGUCAUUAAUGACGGGCUUUUUUUUUA
Non-coding RNA from Serratia sp. Leaf50, 112 nucleotides. Lineage: Bacteria; Pseudomonadati; Pseudomonadota; Gammaproteobacteria; Enterobacterales; Yersiniaceae. The record is from Rfam.